AUUUCGGGUGUACCUAUCCUAGACAGACCCAACCCCUGUGUUGAGUCUCCAAAGUCAAAAUGCACAUGAUGCAAACAAAUGUUCCUACUAGGGAUCCGGCAUGAGGCUGUGUUUUUCUAGGUUUAAAUCCUGGGGUUUUGGUCUAGACUUGGGAUACCCGAGCGGACAACUGGGGCCGAGGAGGGGGCGACGUACCGGGAGCACUGAAGUCUAACCGCCUUGUCGCUUGCCCAGCCUCGUUCUACUUGGUAUAAUUUCUACAGAAAAAGCAGGCUACGCGAACGUAUGCACCAUUUUCAGAAGACUCGGAUGGGUGGCGUAAGAAGACAGUUAUAUACAAUCCAGACAAUAUUAAAGCGAUAAACAGAUAGUACUUAGCACAAAAAGUUUCACAGAAUACAGUAAUAUCAACAAUAAAUAAAGCCAAGCAAAAUCAUAUUAAUAAGCUCGAAUUCUGAACCCUGAACCAGAGAUUCUGGGUUCGAUCCCCAGCAGAGUCGCCAGAGCUGUCACACCUCCUUUUUACCUACACCACUGGAAGGGUAUAAAUAUAAGGGAAUUUUUCCAAUUAAAGGACAAUCGAAACGGGAUUGUUUAUUUAUUUAAAAAUCAGAGUCGCCACUUGGGAGAUUUAUGGUGUCCCAAGUCACCGGUUCAAAUCCCGAAUCGAGGAAAAGGAUUGACUCUGUUUAACAGUCCGCGAACCAGAAAUCCGGGUAAGGAAUUCUGUUAACCCGGGAGAAGGUAUUAGGCAUUCCCGAGUCCCGUGGUUCUAGCACGGUCGCUUUGAUCAUACUUGGCUUAUUAAAUUUGUCUAAUUACUGACUUUAGAUCUUAUGUGCAUUUAUCUAUUAACCGCUUUAAUCACUUGAUUAUUCGUAAUUAAAGAAUUGAGUUACGCAUACGUAUACACUUUUUUUGGCGCAUUAAAAAUCAUGUCACGCGAACGUGUCCACGAUUAAUAACGCUUGUUUAUUUAUUUAAGAAAAAUUGAUUGAAGUUGCGCGAACGCAUCCCUCGAGUCUUUUUAGAAUUAAAUUUGCAAUCAUAUUACGCGAACGUAUAUAUUAUCACAAUACUAACCUAAACCGAGCCUAAAGCAAACUAAUGAAGAGGCACAUCAUGAUUGGAUACAUCUCUCGUCGACCAAUUUCAACCGAAAUAGCAUCAGCCUUAGCAAAGAAGAAUAAGCAAAAACAAAAAGAAAACAACUUCCUAGAAACAAGCCAACCGUACAUAUGGAAAUUAAAUCUAUUAACUAUGGUAUCAUUUACAAAGACCAUUAAUACACUAAAUGCUAUAAUUAUGUUUACUCUUAGAAAAUAUAGUCCAUAAGCUAUUAACUACACAUUCUCUUCUGGAAAAAUUGAUUUAUUGUGGUUAAGCAAAUCAUUAAAUAAACUUAUAAGCCAUGUCCAGUAUUUGCACUCUCCAUAAGUGAUGUUAAUACUUUUAUUUCUUUCUUCAGAGCAAAGUGUCGAAACAGAUCAUGUCAAAGAAAAUUAGGCACUUGUCAAAUUUUUCCAAUUUCACAACUAGACUAGUUUCAGUCAAACAGGACAAACAAAUGGAAUAUCAGUAAAAUUCACGAGAAAAUUGCAUCACAGACUAGUAUAUAAACUAGCUCACAAACAUCUUCUGUUAAUGAAAUAAGGAGUAGUAAAAAUAUGAACCUGUCAAAACUUUCAAUUAAAUCUUUGGCGAAUUACAGCAGUUAAAAUGAGCGACGAUGGCAAAACACGACCGGAAAACUUGAAUAGCAACUCCACAAAAACGAACACCCUCUACGGCUUUCAAAUCGAUACUCAUGGCAUGAUCGGGUCUGGACUCCGCUGAACGAGUGAUGGAGAAAUGACUGUGUUUGUCUAUUUCGGAAAGGACCGAAAGUGAGAGUGACAAAUUGGACUUGAAACUUCUCGGAGCUUACAACGAAGAAGAAAGGGAUGGCGGGUUUUUGCUGUUUCCAAAUUCUGAUUUUGGACCUAAGCACUUCGAAACCGAUUGAGCAAAGCUUCUCAAAGACCCAUGGCUAACGCGAGGUCGAAAACGAGAACGAGAGAGAUCUGUAAGGAUGUCAAUAUAGCCGAUCUCCCUCUCUUACACACGCAAUGUUGCUAUUGAUUU
Molecule: long non-coding RNA, 2124 nt
Filed under: Nicotiana tabacum (common tobacco)
Lineage: Eukaryota; Viridiplantae; Streptophyta; Magnoliopsida; Solanales; Solanaceae
Description: long non-coding RNA (NTAB_LNC013155)
Source: RNAcentral